AUUUUAUCUUUUUUAGUCAAUGUCGAUGAGUGAUUUCUUACAAGGUAAAGAGGAGUAGUGGUUCAUCAGGACAAGGCACUUGGCUUAUGAGAGAAGUAUUCUUGCAAACUGCUGGCACCUUUGGAUACUGCUCCCAAGGGUGCCACAUAAACCAUUUCUGCUUGAGCAGAGAGAGGAGCAUCUGGGCAAGCUCAGGCUUGUGUCUAGAUGUUACCGCAACGUGUACAGCUAGUGUUACAGCUCUUGACUGAGGAAAGAACCAAGCGGCACAGAGUCGGAGAACAGCCUUUAUUCCUCCAGCAGGCUCAGCACGGCAAGUGUUACAACAACUUCCUUCUCAUCUCAUCUUCUGGCCCCCCUUCCUGGUUCUCAUCCUGCUUAUAUACCCUUGGUAGGACUCAGAAAGUAUCCAAUCAACUACAAGCUUUAACAUCCAAUCAGCAACAGGCUUUAACAUCCAAUCAGCAACAGUGGGACUCAAAAAUUACCCAAUCAGGAUCAUGAGAGCAGUGCCUCCAGAUGACAGGUGCAGGCAGCGAGCACCCAGAGCCCAGGCCUGGACGGCGGGUGUCAGCGCCAGGGCCGGAAGCAGGUAGGGGAUGUGGGCCCGAUGGCAUUCCAGCACGCGGGCCCCACUGCUCCCCAGCAGUGUGCCCUCCAACCACCCCGCGCAGCGCCCACCCUCAGGGAGGCGGAGCUAUGGAGAGGCGGCAAGCAGCCGGGUCCCUGCGCCGGACGUUUUCCGCGUCACAGAUAGCUCAGGUUUCACUAGGUUUUCAGAGAGCAGUCAGAUCACCUAGUGUCUAUGAUCAGCUUAGUGGCAAGCCAGAAGCUGUUUCUCCAAAGGACACUGUCAUUUCCCAAAGAAGGCAUAAUUUGUUCCAUAUCCCGUAGGGUCUUGCCACGGCUUCUCACAGCAUCCCGCUAUGUCUUAGACUCUUUAAAAGCCAUUGGAACUGCCGCCACAGUGGCUGAAGAGGGAAUGUUUCGCACUGCAGCCAGGACUAAUUGAGUGACUUUGCCCUACUCUGGGCUCUGCUCAAAGCUAACAGCUUUUCCAGUUACCUAUCAAAGUACUUUGACGACCACGUUACCAGUUCACAAAUACUGCCUUUUUUAGUUAUGGAGAAAUGGAGCAGAAAUUAUGAACAAAGAGGAACACUCACAGGCACAUCCAGACCUUGAGCUUCCAUGAUUCCAAUUCUAAGUCAAUGCCUUCAUCACUAAGAAGAGAUUUCCCAAAUGGCCCUCAUCAGCACGAUAAAUGAUAAUCAGGAACAGAGUGUAUGUUCAAAACUGCCUACUGUGGCUGCAAACCAGAUGACAAAACUAGCAGUAACAAAAUAGUGGUCUGCAUCCUGCUUACCUAAUAAUUUAGAGGAGGAGAAAAAUGAGGAUGAGUUAUAAAAGAAGGUUCAAAGAGGAGGGCCAAGAGUUCUGAAAACCACGCUCAAACUCUCAUCCUGUGAAUGGCUGGAUUAUAAUAUUCAUGGAAUUCCCAACCUCACAGAAGUCUGUUAAAGUGAGGGCGUUAUUUGGGGAAAAAACAGAACCCUAAAAAUUGGAAAGAUGCCAUGAAGGUGGAUCCUGACAAAGCUGGGAACAUUGAGCCCCUAAAUUCUGCUGAGCCGUCUUUGCCAGUAGAGGAAGACCCUCCACCCUGUCUGAGGUGGCAGCCCUCACGCCUGAAACCGGAACGUCCUCCCUGGAGGUGGCUGACUCGCAAGUCACUGCUGAUUGUCCCCAGAACCCCUGCCACACUCUUUACUUCUGUAUCCAUAACUAGACUCAAGUCCAAGCCCCAGAAGGUGAGGUAUAAAGUAUGGCCUGUGAGGAGGUAUGCUACUCUCCAAAAGAACUAAAUGAUUUUUUCCAAUUUAUACAAGCAGAAAUCCAAGGAGUAUGUGUGAGAAUGGAUAUUAAGGGUGUGGGAUAAUGAAGGAACCUAAAGUUGGAGCCAGUGAAAUGUAUUGAUACACAUGUAGUAAGCAGUGAUUCUCAACUUAAUGUUGUAGCUGAAGGGGUCAGAAAGAGCUCUAACAUUUUGUUUGUUUGGUCGGUCGGUCGGUUGGUUGGUUAACACUUGGACCCAAAGAUGGCCCACAGUAAAGAAGUUGAAAUGUCUGAACUGCGGCGUCUACCAUAGAGAAGGGGUCUGAGUGCUUAGAUUGCACUGUUAGAAUGCAAUUCACCCAAAUACUCCGUAUCCUCUUCUGGGAAAAGGUUAGCUUAUUUUGGCUAUAUGCAGGAUAGUUGUAUCAUGUUGGGUAGAAAUGUGACUUUGUUACUGACUUUAGUUAAAAAUUAUGUAGUUUGAGGAGUGUGUAUGGUGUUGAGUUCAUAAGGGAUGGACAGGGAUGGUCUAUUGAUUGUCAACUUAGCUUCAUUUCAAGUCCCCCGUUAUCCAGCAAAACACUAAUCUAGGAGUUUCUGUGAAGACAUUUUGGUCACAUGAUCAUAGCUGAUAUUUAUAAUGACCUUCUUUCAUUACAUAAGAAACAUUUUUUUCAAAAUAUUUUUUCAAAGCUUUUCUGUAUUCAUUAUCACAAUAAUCCUAUAGCAUAAAUGCUGAGUCAUUAUUCUCAAAAGACAGGCAAAUAAACAGGAAGGGAAGAUGUGUUUCUCAGAACCACACAGAUACAGACUUUAAAACAGUAAAUAUAUAUCCUUCCAUUUCUGUUAUUUUGUUCAUUCUGCUUAUCAGCAACUGUAGCCGAACUUGAGGGAACCAUGGUAGCUGUUACCCUUCCUGGCUGGAAGUGCAAGUUCACAUGCUGGAAACAUUUUAACUGCUCCCUUAACUUUCUCGGGCACAAGUAAUAGACUUGAGAAGCUGCUGCACUGCUCUGUCCUUCAGUUGGAAGAGCACCACCUGGAACUUUGAAUUCCCUCCUCUUUUUCCCUCUAUGACCCUUCCUCAAGCCCGAAAAUCCCGCUACAGUGGGGAGUCUGCUUUGCCAUAGACUCUCAGGACACAUUUUUUGUAUAAUUAAUAACCUUUAAUACUUCUGUCAGCUACAAAAUCAAAUGACUGUCAUUCUUAACAUUUAAUCUCAUCAAUUUUGACAUUCUCUAAGAAUUGGAUUUCUGUAAAUGCCUGGUGACACAAUGGUAUUAGAUGGAGAAAAUGUAGGUAACAAAGGAACCAAGCCUGAGAUUAUGUUAAAACUGACAUUUCUGAAGAUAAGAGUUUGCAAAAACCACCUAUAGAUGAAAAAGUAGAAUUAAAAGAGAGUCAGCUGAAAGCAGGAAAAUAGAAGAGAAAAUGAGAGAUGACUAGGAAAGGUACUGACGGCCAAUUCUAAUUUGGGGAAAUAUAUUGCCACAAGAAAUCAAGAGCUACCAGCAGACCAUAGGGGUAAUAUGCUUGUAAAUAGGGGGUCUUGUAAAGAUAAAAGCAGUUUCUGGAUCACAGCACGGGAGGAAACUGACGAAAGCCUCCAUUGUGUUGGUGCUUUCACUAGUCUAUAAAUGUGAAAAAAUUUCAUGGAAUGAUAUGCCCUUACAAAGUGGGUGCAUGUGAAAACUAGUGAAAUGCAAAUAAAAUCUUUUGUUGUGAUGUCAGUUUUCUGGUUUUGAUAAAUGUGCGAUGGUUAUAUUGUUGCAGCAAUGCGUACAGCUAGCGUUACAGCUCUUAUUCGUUUGACCUGGGAAACAACCAAGCAGCACAUGAAGAGUCAGAGAACAGCCUUUAUUCUUGUACAGCAGGCUCAGCACACCUAGUAUCACAGCUCUUGGCGCUGAAGGAGAGAGAUGCUGCUCAGUGGCGUCCACCGUCCAGGUGCAGUCCACUCACCAUCCAUACCAUGUAUCUCAGCCCUCUUUCUGCACCGUUUGUGACGUUCUCCCUCUGCACCCUUCGCCGAUCAGGUGGCUUCAAGGGGCCAACUCCGCCCACGCCGUUGGCUGUCUGCUCCGUCCGCCAUUCCGGUGGCUCCAAGGGGCCAGCUCAGUCAGCUUUCCCGGUCAGGGAACCAAAAUGUUGCGGCAGUGUGCACAGCUAGUGUUACAGCUCUUGGUUGGGGAAAGAACCGAGCAGAACACAAAGAAUCGGAGAACAGUCUAUUCUUCCACAGCAGGCUCAGCACACCUAGUGUUACAGCUCUCUUCGUGUCUUCCGAUCUUCU
This is a non-coding RNA of Microcebus murinus (gray mouse lemur), 4127 nucleotides long. The record is from RefSeq and is a predicted model, not a curated record. NCBI's taxonomy places the organism in Eukaryota, Metazoa, Chordata, Mammalia, Primates, Cheirogaleidae.